Tympanuchus pallidicinctus (lesser prairie-chicken) is the source of this 892-nucleotide long non-coding RNA. RefSeq lists it as uncharacterized. The record is from RefSeq and is a predicted model, not a curated record. NCBI's taxonomy places the organism in Eukaryota, Metazoa, Chordata, Aves, Galliformes, Phasianidae. The transcript is spliced from 2 exons.
UAAUGUUUGUUUGCUUUUUAAAUAUUUGCUCGUAGUCUGCAUGUAUUGUGAGCUUUUUUAUACUGUUCUAUCACCAAACAUUUUGCCCAUUUGAGGUUAAACGUUUAUAUUGAAUGGAGUUUAGAAACGAAUGUAUUUAGAUAACCAUUGCCCAGGUGUACUCCUUUAGUGUUGUCUCUGUGCUUUCUAACUUUGUUUCACCGCUUAUGAGUUUGAUACAGCAGCACUGAAAACAACUACAUGUAAAGACCUAACAAAAAGUGCUAAUAUAUUGGUCAGAUAGUAUAUUAGCAGAGUGUACAAUUGACAUACAUUUACAAAUUCUUACAAGAGAGGCAUCCUGGGCUUAAUAUUAAUCUAUUUUGCAGUCUAUUUUAUGAUAUGUAUUGAAGUGCUUCAUAAUUUUGGCUUGUGGAAUGUCACAGUGGUUUGUGGAUUAUGUCAGAACCCGUACCUUCAGUAGUGGUGUGAAAGAAGAAAGCAUGUUAUCUGAACUUUACCUCUUUCUGAAUUUCAGAGGAAAUACUUUCCUCUUUAUGAGAUGGGUUGUUUUGUUGGCUUUUUUUUUUUUUUUUUUUUUUUUUUUGUUAAAGAAGUAAUACAGAGCAUUUAAGAAAUCUUUACUCUGAUUUUGGGAGUAAUUUGUAGUAAAACUGCCAGAAGUACCUCACUUCAGAACUGAAGUUCUGUUCCCUCUUUAGGCAUUUGCUUAUAAAUUAUUUUUGAAAAUCACACAUGGUCUGCUAAGUGAAUGAAGAACCUGGGAACUUGCUAUAGUUGAUCCAUAACAAAAUCCAUUUAUAUUCAAUCUUCUAGCAGCAUCCAGAGAGUGUUUCACACAAAGAUAGAAAAAUAAAAGUGACAAAACUAAAAAAAAAAAAAAAAUUAAAAA